CAACCUGUGACUAGCAAGCAACUCACUGUACUUUGGUACCGGACUACCUGAAUUUCUAAUUCAGUGACGGAAGGUCACUGGGUGCAGUCAAGUACUUGCGUAGUCAGUUGUGAGUCAAGAUGGAAUUGACCCCUCCUGAAAACAGGAGAUAAUGUCUUGUGAUUAAUUUAGCAAAACCUUGGCCAGGGUAAUCUCAGUGAGGAGUCACGGGAUAUCUAAAGUUAAUCACAUAAUGGAUGUACUAAUUAUAGGGUUGACAGUGAGCUCUAAGUCAUCCUGGCAUUAGGAGUCAAAGGGAUUGAAUUAUACAGUAACCAUAGUUCAG
RNAcentral lists this long non-coding RNA (325 nucleotides) under Phoenix dactylifera (date palm). RNAcentral's name for it is "long non-coding RNA (PDAC_LNC010825)". The record is from RNAcentral. Lineage: Eukaryota; Viridiplantae; Streptophyta; Magnoliopsida; Arecales; Arecaceae.